UUGUGUUAGUGAUUGAGGUGGUAUCCUUUUUUUGCAUUUUUGCAAAAAAAGAUUUAACCGAAAGCACGACCGCUA
Molecule: small RNA, 75 nt
Filed under: Lutibacter maritimus
Lineage: Bacteria; Pseudomonadati; Bacteroidota; Flavobacteriia; Flavobacteriales; Flavobacteriaceae
Description: Flavo-1 RNA
Rfam family: Flavo-1 RNA
Source: Rfam by way of RNAcentral